GGGGCUGAUCGGAUUCGACUACGUGCGCCGAGGCAGGGGAAGCGUGCCGGUGCAGGCUGGAGACCACCGUAUAAGCGUCGCGGCAACCAAUUAAGCGCCGAUAAGAAUCAGCGCGACUACGCCCUCGCUGCCUGAGCAGCGACGGCUAGUCUGUCGGCCCGAGGGUGCUCUCACCUCGGUCCCCGGCAUCAUCUUCGGGAGCUCACCGUCGCCGCCGGUCGCGGGUGGCGACGGGACAACUCACAGCGACUGGGAUCGUCAUCUCGGCUUGUUCGCGUGACUGAGAGAUCCGAGUAGAGACGCAGCGGACUGCGCACGGAGAAGCCCUGCCGACUCGACGGAGGACCCGGGUUCAAUUCCCGGCAGCUCCACGG
Molecule: transfer-messenger RNA, 374 nt
Filed under: Gordonia sp. (in: high G+C Gram-positive bacteria)
Lineage: Bacteria; Bacillati; Actinomycetota; Actinomycetes; Mycobacteriales; Gordoniaceae
Also listed under: 1 other name
Description: Gordonia sp. (activated sludge metagenome) transfer-messenger RNA
Rfam family: transfer-messenger RNA
About the family: Bacterial tmRNA, also known as 10Sa RNA or SsrA, is named for its dual tRNA and mRNA-like properties. Its role is to liberate the mRNA from a stalled ribosome. To accomplish this part of the tmRNA is used as a reading frame that ends in a translation stop signal.
Source: RNAcentral